CACGUAGGCUGUUAUGUAAGUCAGGGGUGAAAGCCCACGGCUCAACCGUGGAACUGCCCUUGAUACUGCACGACUCGAAUCCGGGGGAGGGUGGCGGAAUUCCAGGUGUAGGAGUGAAAUCCGUAGAUAUCUGGAGGAACAUCAGUGGCGAAGGCGGCCACCUGGACCGGUAUUGACGCUGAGGUGCGAAAGCGUGGGGAGCAAACA
This 207-nucleotide ribosomal RNA is filed under the name uncultured bacterium. RNAcentral's name for it is "partial 16S ribosomal RNA". It matches the Rfam family "Bacterial small subunit ribosomal RNA", at positions 568 to 774 of the family's 1533-position model. The record is from RNAcentral.